RNAcentral lists this unclassified non-coding RNA (516 nucleotides) under uncultured Glomeromycotina. RNAcentral describes it as "SSU rRNA". It matches the Rfam family "Eukaryotic small subunit ribosomal RNA", at positions 591 to 1114 of the family's 1831-position model. Lineage: Eukaryota; Fungi; Glomeromycota. The record is from RNAcentral.
CCAAUAGCGUAUAUUAAAGUUGUUGUGGUUAAAAAGCUCGUAGUUGAACCUUGGGCCUGGCUGGCCGGUCCGCCUCACCGCGUGUACUGGUCCGGCCGGGCCUUUCCCUCUGUGGAACCCCAUGCCCUUCACUGGGUGUGGCGGGGAAACAGGACUUUUACUGUGAAAAAAUUAGAGUGCUCCAGGCAGGCCUAUGCUCGAAUACAUUAGCAUGGAAUAAUAGAAUAGGACGUGUGGUUCUAUUUUGUUGGUUUCUAGGACCGCCGUAAUGAUUAAUAGGGACAGUCGGGGGCAUCAGUAUUCAAUUGUCAGAGGUGAAAUUCUUGGAUUUAUUGAAGACUAACUACUGCGAAAGCAUUUGCCAAGGAUGUUUUCAUUAAUCAGGAACGAAAGUUAGGGGAUCGAAGACGAUCAGAUACCGUCGUAGUCUUAACCAUAAACUAUGCCGACUAGGGAUCGGACGGUGUUAUUUUUUGACCCGUUCGGCACCUUACGAGAAACCAAAGUGUUUGGUUC